Molecule: long non-coding RNA, 2383 nt
Organism: Cucumis melo (muskmelon)
Lineage: Eukaryota; Viridiplantae; Streptophyta; Magnoliopsida; Cucurbitales; Cucurbitaceae
Exons: 3
Source: RefSeq, a predicted model, not a curated record
GAAGGAGUUGGUAGAUCAGAAAGAAAGUAAAUACUCCUUACAGAAUGGUACGUUGAAAUUCAAGGACCGGUUAGUCCUUACAAAGAACUCUACUUUGAUUCCAGUAAUUUUAAAUACUUAUCAUGAUUUGGCAAUUGGUGGUCAUGCUGGGUUUUUAAGAACCUAUAAGAGGAUAGCCAGUGAGUUGUUUUGGGAGGGAAUGAAAAUAAACAUAAAGAAACACUGUGAGGAGUGUUUAAUAUGUCAAAGAAACAAAUGCUUAGCACUAUCUCCAGUUGGUUUAUUAGUUCCAUUAGAGAUUCCACAAACCAUAUGCAGAGACAUUUCCAUGGAUUUUGUGGAUGGUUUACCAAAGGCUAACAGUUUUGAAGUCAUAUUGGUUGUGGUAGAUCGUUUGAGUAAAUACGGGCACUUUCUACCUCUUAAACAUCCUUAUACGGCUAAGGUGGUUGCAGAAUUAUUUGUGAAAGAGAUUGUUUGACUGCAUGGUUUUUCCCUGUCAAUUUUUCCUGAUCUGGACAAAAUCUUCCUCAACCAUUUAUGGUAGGAGCUUUUUCAUUUAUCUGGUACUAAACUAAAUAAGAGCACUGCUUACCAUUCUCAAUCGGACGGCCAGACAGAGGUUGUAAACAGAGGCUUGGAAACGUACGGUCUUUCUGUAGUGAAAAGCCUAAAGAAUGGGUUAAAUAGCUGCCAUGGGCGGAAUAUUGGUAUAAUACCACGUUCCAAAGGGUGAUAGGUGUUUCUCCUUUUCAAGUUGUUUAUAGUCGUAAACCUCCAACUCUGUUAUCUUAUGGUAAUGCUGAAACAAAAAAGGCUUCGAUUGAUGAGAUGUUGAAAGAGAGGGAUGAUGUUUUGAGUGCUUUACGAGAACAUUUACGGCUAGCACAAGAGUAGAUGAAGAGUUAUGCUAACCGCAAACGAAGGGAUGUAGAAUUUUGCGUAGGUGAUUGUGUUUUUGAAAAUCCGUCCUUAUAGGCAAUUGACCUUAGGAAGAAAAUGUAAUGAAAAGCUUUCUCCCAGAUUUUUUGGGCCUUAUAAAAUUUUGGAGAAAAUUGGCAUGGUGGUCUAUAAGCUUGAACUACUAGUUGGUACUACUAUUCAUCCUGCUUUUCACGUGUCUCAAUUGAAGAAGUUAGUAGGGAAGCACAUAAAUGUACGGCCUACCAUUCAGUAUGUUAAUGAGAACUAUGAAGGGAAAUCUAAUCUUGAAGAAGUUCUUAAGUAUCAGAAAAACAAGGCUGGACAGUGGGAAGUGUUGGUUAGCUGGGAAGGGUUGCCACGACAUGAAGCUUCUUGGGAGACAUAUGAAGAGAUGCAGCGGGCAAUCUGGAACUUCACCUUGAGGACAAGGUGAAUUUGGAAUAGGGAGUAAUGUUAGACCUCCUAUCAAGCUUGUAUAUAGUAGGAGAAAGAAUAAAAAUAAAUCACACGAUAUACAUGUGUGAAUUAGUAAUAGGUUGGUUGACCUUUAGUAUAAAAUGUUUUCUGUUUAAGCGGGAAGGGCAUUAUGAAAUUUUUGUUAGAUUGGUUAGGCCUCUGUAACUUCUUGAGAGAAAGAAGUACAAUUGAGAGAAGUACACUUGAGAGUUGUGAGAAGAAUUGAGAUUUCCUCAAUUCUCCUAUAUUGUAAUCGAUUCAUAAUUCAAUAAAGAGUGAAAUUCAGAUAAGGAAGUAGAGUUCUAACAUAAACUUAUCUGCGGAGAAAGUAUUAAUUACAACUGUAAAUUUCUUUUUCUUCUCUUAACAAGGUUGUUGCUAUUGUCCUCACACUGUUAUAUCUUGCCCUGUCAUAUGGAUUGUACGUUCAUGAUUGGGAGUACCAAGUUCCAAGUCUAACUCCAUCCAAUGUGGCUUCUCCAAAGAUAUUUUCUAUGAGCAUUGAAUCUUUUUAAUUUAUAUUAUUUCCAUUUAGGGGUUAAGAAUACCAUAAUGGUUAUAAUUGGUUAGUUGGAUGGCGUCUCGCUUAAUCCUCUAAUUUCAGGUGAAAUGUGGCACACAUGGUGACACUGGACCUGUCUGCAAUGUUGUGGGAAUGAUAGAUCGUAAGAUAUUUGGUAUCCAACAUCUAUAUAAAAUACCUAUUUAUGCGCGGACUGAGCAUUAAUGCACCAGACUAUGGUCCAUUGCCUCCUGAUGCUCCUUGGUGCCAAGCUUCGUUUGAUCACGAAGGACUUUUAAGUACAGUGAUUGUCUUUCUUAGCUGCUUGGUUGGCUUACAUUAUGGAAAUAUGAUUGUACAUUUCAAAGUGAGGGAGACAGUCCAACUAACAUUGCACCUUUUACAUUGAUGGAUUUGUGAAUGUUCUAUGUAGGAAAAAACAUUUGAAUGGGUGUAAUUAAGUAUGUAAUGACCAAUUUAUAUAUGUAUGGUUUAUUGAUA